UAACCCAGUCAGAUAUAGAGGGGUUAUUAACCCAGUCAGAUAUAGAGGGGUUAUUAACCCAGUCAGAUAUAGAGGGGUUAUUAACCCAGUCAGAUAUAGUGUAGUGGCAAGAGGGAUUUAGUCAAUACAUUGUUGGCUAUCCUUUUCCUUUCUUUCUGUGCCACCAAAUGUUUACCUUGUUUACUGGUAAUAUUACCAUGGCUAUCAAUAGGCUACCGGUAAUGUUACCAUGUUAGCUAGCUAGCUAAUGAGGUAUUAUGACUGAACAAGGUUUAGUGUAGCCUAAACUAGUAGCCUCUAACUAGAAAGCUGACGGUCACUGGGUUCGCUACGGUGAAGCAGGAGAGUUGGGUAUCUAACCAGAAAGUUGACGGUCACUGGGUUAGCUACGGUGAAGCAGGAAAGUUGGGUAUCUAACUAGAAAGCUGACCUUCCUACUGAGAAUGAGUCAUCCUCGUGCAGUGGCGUUAAUUACCGCCAUUUGUUAAUCGAAGCCCCCCCCAAGCUGAUUGUCAACUGUUGUCAGAUACACGUGGGUCUGGACAGACGAUUCUCUUCCUCAAUAAAGUGCAGCGAAUUCUAUUAGAUGAAAUGCCUGAAAUGAGUAUGACAUCCUGGCAUUUCAAGUAUUCAACAUUUUGUUCAAUUUCAGACUAUAUAUAAAAAACAAUGCCUUUUGUUUUAGGACACAAGUACAGGUUUUGGGACAUGGCCACUCAAUGGGUUAGUGGUUAGAGUGUUGGGCCAGUAACCGAAAGGUUGCUAGAUCGAAUCCCCGAGCUGACAAGGUACAAAUCUGUCGUUCUUUCUCCUUAAAGAGGCAUUGUAAAUAAGAAUUUGUUCUUAACUGACUUGCCUAGUUAAAUAAAGGUUAAAAAAAAUUUCUUCCAAAACGGCAACACACACCUCAGUUCAGCAGCACAGUAACUCCUAAAUCUCACCAGGGGGCAGGCAGGCUUGAUUCAGUUCUCAAUUUCACUUUCCAUUUAGUAAUUUAUUGAUGUCAGAGUUCUAAUUAAGUGGAAGUUCAGAUUAAUCAUGUACUAAAUUGAAAACUCAUUUUAUCAAACAUUGGACAUAUUCAAUUGACUUCUUUAAUUGACUGAGUUAAAACUGUCAGGUCCCAAUCCUGCUCUCUCCCCCCUCUUCUCUCCCUCCACUCCCUCUUCCCUCUCUCCCCUUCCCUCCCUCUUCCCUCUCUCCCUCACCCUCUCUUCCCUCCCUCCCUCUUCCCUCCCUCUUCCCUCCCUCCCUCUCUCUCCCUCUCUUCCCUCUCUCCUCUUCCCUCUCUCCCUCCCCAUUCCCCCUCUCUCCCUCCCCAUUCCCUCUCUCCCUUCCCUCUUCCUCCACUCCCCCAUCCCUCUCUCCCUCCCUCCCUUCCCUCUCUCUCCUUCCCUCUCUCUCCCUCCCUCCCUUCCCUCUCUCUCUUCCCUCUCUCUCCUUCCCUCUCUCUCCUUCCCUCUCUCUCCCUCCCUUCUCUCUCUCCCCCCUCUUUCUCGCUCUCUCUCUCCAGGUUGAGAGAAACUGAUUGUGAAAAGCAUCAUGUAACAUAAAAUCACCAUAGAAAUGUAGCAGAGAUCUUUUAAAUAUAGCAAUAUACAGACUAAUGUAUGAUACUUGAUUAUAAUCUCAACAGAUAUAAAUACCUGUAUGACAAUGUUUGUAAUUUAUGUAUAAAAUAAUUCAGCAACAUGUUUAUUAGUAUUUUGUUGAUGUUUCCAGAAGGUUUGAUGACUUUCUAUUGGUUGAUGUUUCCAGAAGGUUUGAUGACUUUCUAUUGGUUGAUGUUUCCAGAAGGUUUGAUGACUUUCUAUUGGUUGAUGUUUCCAGAAGGUUUGAUGACUUUCUAUUGGUUGAUGUUUCCAGAAGGUGUGAUGACUUUCUAUUGGUUGAUGUUUCCAGAAGGUUUGAUGACUUUCUAUUGGUUGAUGUUUCCAGAAGGUUUGAUGACUUUCUAUUGGUUGAUGUUUCCAGAAGGUUUGAUGACUUUCUAUUGGUUGAUGUUUCCAGAAGGUUUGAUGACUUUCUAUUGGUUGAUGUUUCCAGAAGGUUUGAUGACUUUCUAUUAAAUAUUUUGUAAAAUC
This is a long non-coding RNA of Oncorhynchus kisutch (coho salmon), 2084 nucleotides long. RefSeq lists it as uncharacterized. NCBI's taxonomy places the organism in Eukaryota, Metazoa, Chordata, Actinopteri, Salmoniformes, Salmonidae. The transcript has 2 exons. The record is from RefSeq and is a predicted model, not a curated record.